UACGAAGGGGGCUAGCGUUGCUCGGAAUCACUGGGCGUAAAGCGCACGUAGGCGGAUUGCUAAGUCAGGGGUGAAAUCCUGGAGCUCAACUCCAGAACUGCCCUUGAUACUGGCGGUCUCGAGUCCGGGAGAGGUGAGUGGAACUGCGAGUGUAGAGGUGAAAUUCGUAGAUAUUCGCAAGAACACCAGUGGCGAAGGCGGCUCACUGGCCCGGUACUGACGCUGAGGUGCGAAAGCGUGGGGAGCA
RNAcentral lists this ribosomal RNA (247 nucleotides) under uncultured bacterium. RNAcentral's name for it is "partial 16S ribosomal RNA". It matches the Rfam family "Bacterial small subunit ribosomal RNA", at positions 524 to 770 of the family's 1533-position model. The record is from RNAcentral.